GACGAACGCUGGCGGCGUGCUUAACACAUGCAAGUCGAACGGAAAGGCCCUGCUUUUGUGGGGUGCUCGAGUGGCGAACGGGUGAGUAACACGUGAGUAACCUGCCCUUGACUUUGGGAUAACUUCAGGAAACUGGGGCUAAUACCGGAUAGGAGCUCCUGCUGCAUGGUGGGGGUUGGAAAGUUUCGGCGGUUGGGGAUGGAUUCGCGGCUUAUCAGCUUGUUGGUGGGGUAGUGGCUUACCAAGGCUUUGACGGGUAGCCGGCCUGGGAGGGGGACCGGCCACAUUGGGCCUGCGAUACGGCGCAGACUGCUACGGGAGGCAGCAGUGGGGAAUAUUGCACAAUGGGCGGAAGCCUGAUGCAGCAACGCCGCGUGCGGGAUGACGGCCUUCGGGGUGUAAACCGAUUUCGCCUGAGACGAAGCGUGAGUGACGGUAAUGAGUAAAGAAGCACCGGCUAACUACGUG
RNAcentral lists this ribosomal RNA (468 nucleotides) under uncultured bacterium. Its description in RNAcentral is "partial 16S ribosomal RNA". It matches the Rfam family "Bacterial small subunit ribosomal RNA", at positions 28 to 507 of the family's 1533-position model. The record is from RNAcentral.